AUCUAAGGCUAUAAUACUGUGGUAACUGAUCUCCUCUGAUCUCAGAAGGUAAGCAAGACAGUGUCUUCUCUGGGGCCCAGCCCAAGCAUGAGAUC
This 95-nucleotide ribosomal RNA is filed under the name Dasypus novemcinctus (nine-banded armadillo). The record is from RNAcentral. Lineage: Eukaryota; Metazoa; Chordata; Mammalia; Cingulata; Dasypodidae.